CACCUUUAGAAUUAACAGAGCAGGAAAGCGAGCGUACAGUAAGAGCGCUGAAAGUGAACGGAGACGGUCAUUCGCGACAGCCAAUCAGAUCUCGAGACUGCGACACGGAGGCCCCGCUACGAGGUCACACGCUGAACGUGGCACGUACGCGUCCUGUGAUUGGAUAAGCACCGAAAGGCGGCUCUUUGCAAAGUGUAGCAUCCGUUACCUGGACAUCCGUUAGCUACUAUCAGUUACCGUAGUAUUUUUAGCCCAAGUUGGCUGAAAGAGGAGACGGGAAAUUGUUGCAGACAAACGUUACACGCCAUUUUCAACACGGACCUUUCCCAAAAAGCUGGACCCUGUGAGGAGUGGCCGACCAACCGCUACGCUGGGUAACCUGUCCCAGCAGGGAGAAGGGUUGUCCGCCAUUUUCAGACCAGCAGCUAUGUACAGAAUCAGUGGCUCAUACCUUCUGAGAACCGUUGGUGAUUUGGUGGUUGGAGCUACACUAGGUUUACCAACGUAGGUUGUUUCACCGUGGCAGCAACGACACACCAAAGCACGGCCGGGUUCCGACGAGCCACGGUGCGUUUAAAGACUACCGGACAGACGGCAUUAGCAUCCUUAUUGCUGGAUCCGAAAGCACAAUAAGCCUUCUACAGAAAAGGAGAAGCUCUGUGUUGAUUCGGGAGGCGGUCGCCCGAAGGGGCGUCGUCCCCGCGCCGUCUCCGGCCGCGGCCGGCUCGCGAACCCGCGCAGGGGAGAACUUGGAUCGGUCGACGGGCAGAACGAGGCACGCGGGGACGGAAAGGGAGGGAGAGCGAGCGAGGAAGUGGGCGAACGAGAGAUACCAUCGACUGUUGCUUCCAACCAGCAGAUAAGUGUGGCCUAACAUUCAUUAGGUCUUCAACUCAAUUAAACCAAAAUAAUUUCUUAUCUUUCUUCCCUCGGUAAACUGUCAGCAUAUCAAAAGGCCGGACCCCCGUAGCUGCGGGCGCGAUGGAGGAAAAACAACACAAAAGCACAAGAUAUGCAAGAGCGCCCAGUAAACAAGCCGCUCGGCUCCAUACGUAUCGCAUAGGCCGCAGUCGCCUUAAAGAAGCAGCCCCACGCUGAUUACAAAGCAAGAGUGAAAUUUCAAUAGAUGAGAAUAAAUGUAGUGGCACUAAAUCA
Molecule: long non-coding RNA, 1155 nt
Filed under: Betta splendens (Siamese fighting fish)
Lineage: Eukaryota; Metazoa; Chordata; Actinopteri; Anabantiformes; Osphronemidae
Description: lncRNA (ENSBSLG00000004854.1)
Source: RNAcentral